RNAcentral lists this ribosomal RNA (550 nucleotides) under uncultured bacterium. Its description in RNAcentral is "bacterial SSU rRNA". It matches the Rfam family "Bacterial small subunit ribosomal RNA", at positions 355 to 896 of the family's 1533-position model. The record is from RNAcentral.
UAGGGAAUCUUCGGCAAUGGACGGAAGUCUGACCGAGCAACGCCGCGUGAGUGAAGAAGGUUUUCGGAUCGUAAAGCUCUGUUGUAAGAGAAGAACGAGUGUGAGAGUGGAAAGUUCACACUGUGACGGUAUCUUACCAGAAAGGGACGGCUAACUACGUGCCAGCAGCCGCGGUAAUACGUAGGUCCCGAGCGUUGUCCGGAUUUAUUGGGCGUAAAGCGAGCGCAGGCGGUUAGAUAAGUCUGAAGUUAAAGGCUGUGGCUUAGCCAUAGUAGGCUUUGGAAACUGUUUAACUUGAGUGCAAGAGGGGAGAGUGGAAUUCCAUGUGUAGCGGUGAAAUGCGUAGAUAUAUGGAGGAACACCGGCGGCGAAAGCGGCUCUCUGGCUUGUAACUGACGCUGAGGCUCGAAAGCGUGGGGAGCAAACAGGAUUAGAUACCCUGGUAGUCCACGCUGUAAACGAUGAGUGCUAGGUGUUAGACCCUUUCCGGGGUUUAGUGCCGUAGCUAACGCAUUAAGCACUCCGCCUGGGGAGUACGACCGCAAGGUUG